RNAcentral lists this ribosomal RNA (441 nucleotides) under uncultured bacterium. RNAcentral's name for it is "partial 16S ribosomal RNA". It matches the Rfam family "Bacterial small subunit ribosomal RNA", at positions 338 to 795 of the family's 1533-position model. The record is from RNAcentral.
CCUACGGGGGGCAGCAGUCGGGAAUUUUGCACAAUGGAGGAAACUCUGAAGCAGUGACGCCGCGUGCAGGAAGCAGGUUUUCGGAUUGUAAACUGCUUUAGUCAGGGAAGAAACAAGACAGUACCUGUAAAAUAAGCCCCGGCUAAAUACGUGCCAGCAGCCGAGGUCUAACUUCGGGAGCAAGCGUUAUACGGAUUUACUGUGUGUAGCGGGUGCGUAGACGGGAAAUUAAGCUAGUUGUGAAAUCCCUCGGCUUAAAUGAGGAACUGCAACUAAAACUGAAUUUCUUGAGUGCGGGAGAGGAGAGUGGAAUUCCUAGUGUAGCGGUGAAAUGCGUAGAUAUUAGGAGGAACACCAGUGGCGAAGGCGACUUUCUGGACCGUAACUGACGUUGAGGCACGAAAGUGUGGGGAGCAAACAGGAUUAGAUACCCCUGUAGUC